UGGGGAAUAUUGCGCAAUGGGGGAAACCCUGACGCAGCAACGCCGCGUGAAGGAAGAAGGUUUUCGGAUCGUAAACUUCUUUGAUUAGGGAAGAAUAAAUGACAGUACCUAAAAAACAAGCCACGGCUAACUACGUGCCAGCAGCCGCGGUAAUACGUAGGUGGCGAGCGUUGUCCGGAAUUACUGGGUGUAAAGGGCGUGUAGGCGGGACUGCAAGUCAGAUGUGAAAUACCGGGGCUCAACCCCGGGGCUGCAUUUGAAACUGUAGUUCUUGAGUGCAGGAGAGGAAAGUGGAAUUCCUAGUGUAGCGGUGAAAUGCGUAGAUAUUAGGAGGAACACCAGUGGCGAAGGCGACUUUCUGGACUGUAACUGACGCUGAGGCGCGAAAGCGUGGGGAGCGAACAGG
Molecule: ribosomal RNA, 406 nt
Filed under: uncultured prokaryote
Also listed under: 1 other name
Description: bacterial SSU rRNA
Rfam family: Bacterial small subunit ribosomal RNA
Source: RNAcentral